RNAcentral lists this ribosomal RNA (491 nucleotides) under uncultured bacterium. RNAcentral's name for it is "partial 16S ribosomal RNA". It matches the Rfam family "Bacterial small subunit ribosomal RNA", at positions 29 to 507 of the family's 1533-position model. The record is from RNAcentral.
GUGAACGCUGGCGGUAGGCCUAACACAUGCAAGUCGAACGGCAGCACAGUAAGAGCUUGCUCUUACGGGUGGCGAGUGGCGGACGGGUGAGGAAUACAUCGGAAUCUACUUUUUCGUGGGGGAUAACGUAGGGAAACUUACGCUAAUACCGCAUACGACCUACGGGUGAAAGCAGGGGAUCUUCGGACCUUGCGCGAUUGAAUGAGCCGAUGUCGGAUUAGCUAGUUGGCGGGGUAAAGGCCCACCAAGGCGACGAUCCGUAGCUGGUCUGAGAGGAGGAUCAGCCACACUGGAACUGAGACACGGUCCAGACUCCUACGGGAGGCAGCAGUGGGGAAUAUUGGACAAUGGGCGCAAGCCUGAUCCAGCCAUACCGCGUGGGUGAAGAAGGCCUUCGGGUUGUAAAGCCCUUUUGUUGGGAAAGAAAAGCAGCAGGUUAAUACCCCGCUGUUCUGACGGUACCCAAAGAAUAAGCACCGGCUAACUUCGUG